RNAcentral lists this ribosomal RNA (419 nucleotides) under bacterium. Its description in RNAcentral is "partial 16S ribosomal RNA". It matches the Rfam family "Bacterial small subunit ribosomal RNA", at positions 355 to 776 of the family's 1533-position model. The record is from RNAcentral.
UGGGGGAUAUUGCACAAUGGGCGAAAGCCUGAUGCAGCGACGCCGCGUGGGGGAUGAAGGCCUUCGGGUUGUAAACUUCUUUUGCUCUGAACAAGGCAUGCUAAUGGGUGUGUUGAGUGUAGGGGUUGAUUAGCGCCGGCUAACUACGUGCCAGCAGCCGCGGUAAUACGUAGGGCGCGAGCGUUGUCCGGAAUUAUUGGGCGUAGAGGGCUUGUAGGUGGCUGGUUGCGUCUGUCGUGAAAGCUCAUGGCUUAACUGUGGGUUUGCGGUGGGUACGAGCUGGCUUGAGUGCAGUAGGGGAGGCUGGAAUUCCUGGUGUAGCGGUGGAAUACGCAGAUAUCAGGAGGAAUACCGGUGGCGAAGGCGGGUCUCUGGGCUGUUACUGACACUGAGGAGCGAAAGCAUGGGGAGCGAACAGG